This 123-nucleotide non-coding RNA is filed under the name Nocardia salmonicida. Lineage: Bacteria; Bacillati; Actinomycetota; Actinomycetes; Mycobacteriales; Nocardiaceae. The record is from RNAcentral.
GAAAGUUGCUGGGGGGAGGGGGUCAGUACGAUCGGGUUGCUCGGCGGGUGACGAGGAAACCGGUGGAAAUCCGGUGCGGUCGCGCCACUGUGAACAGCCAGACCCUCUCCGGCGAGCACCACC